This is a long non-coding RNA of Drosophila ananassae, 1331 nucleotides long. RefSeq lists it as uncharacterized. The transcript is spliced from 2 exons. Lineage: Eukaryota; Metazoa; Arthropoda; Insecta; Diptera; Drosophilidae. The record is from RefSeq and is a predicted model, not a curated record.
CUCCGCAAAGCAAUGCAGCUGAACGAGUAAAUCGCUCGAUAAUUACAGCUAUCCGUUCGUAUCUUAAGAAUGAUCAAACCGACUGGGAUGUUAAUUUAACUUGCAUUUCAUCCGCUUUGCGAUCGGCAUUGCAUCAGUCUCUUGGAUGUUCUCCUUACAAAGCCCUUUUUGGUUUUAAUAUGAUUAACCACGCUGAGGAUUACCGAUUAUUAAAGAAUUUAUCACUUCUAGAAGAAUCCCCUACAAUAGAUCGGCACGAAAAGUUAUUUUUGUUACGCCAAAAUGUGAAAACAAAUAGUCGAAAAGCCUAUGAAGAGAAUGCAAAACAGUACAACUUGAGGAGUAAGAAUAGUUCAUUCAAAGAAGGUCAAGAAGUUUUCAAACGAAAUUUCCAGUUAAGUAACUUUAGUCAGAACUACAAUAAAAAGUUAGGCCCGUUGUUUUCGAAAUGCAGAGUGAAGAAGAAAUUGGGAAACGCUUAUUAUUUGCUAGAAACCCUGAGUGGAAAAGAGCUUGGAACUUAUCAUGCCAAAGAUAUAAAAUGCUAAUUCCAGCUAAUCAUGUCUCCGGAUUACUCGACAGAUUAUCUGUGGUUGUAAUGGUCACCUGUGCUGCCCAUUCGAGUUUCAAAAAAAUUAGAUUAGAAUAACGUCUAAUCUUAACGAAACUCUCCACUUUUAUCGAUAGGUGUUAGCAAUUUUUUUUGUUUUAUUCAUUCCUAAUGUGCAUACUAGGCGUUCGUACUUACCUUGACAUUAGCCCUAGCAGCUUAUUAGGUGCCUUCAAAAGUCUUUUUCUUUUUUGAGCUGUCAAACUAAGCAGACGCACACCUUAGUACCAGCUACAACAUAUAUAUAAAUCAAGUGGGUGAAACACGUGCAAAUUGAUCACAACAAAAUAAAACAAAUUAAAUCUGAAAAAUCCCCACAUAACAUUGGGCAAAGAAGUAAAGCAAAGACAUCAUUAAAGUCGCAAACAAACCUAGCCUGGGAUCAGGCGUCUUCUAUGGCCGAAAAUCCACGAGAGUCCCACCCGCACCACCUGGAUUCCAUACCUGGAUCAUUACACAUAGUUUUUAUCAGGAUGAGUAACCCUAUCAAAAAUAAAAAAACACCCACUUAGUCUAUCCCGUCUACAUUUAUUCGCAAAUCAAUACUGAUACACCGGAUAGGAGAAAUUUCGGAUAUCACCUAUAAAUAUAAAACGAUAUCAAAGUAUACAAUAGCGAACGAGAGUCGCCUUCCAAUCGUUUAUUACAUUUCUGUUGUUGUUCACAAACACAAAAAUUAAAUUACAUUAAAAUAUUACGAACUUAUAUUGAACUAGAAAUU